AUGAACGCUGGCGGCGUGCCUAAGACAUGCAAGUCAAACGUGCCCGCAAGGGUAACGUGGCGAACGGGUGAGUAAUACCUAGGAACGUUUCCCGAUACGGGUAUAACCCUCCGAAAGGAGGAAUAAUCCCCGAUAGUAUCGAAAGAUUAAAGUGUAUCCGUAAGGAUUAUCGAUCGGGAUGCGGCCUGGGCACCAUCAGCUAGUUGGUAGGGUAAUGGCCUACCAAGGCGAUGACGGUUAGGGGCCCUAAGAGGGGAAACCCCCACACUGGGACUGCGACACGGCCCAGACUCCUACGGGAGGCAGCAGUUUGGAAUAUUGGACAAUGGACGAAAGUCUGAUCCAGCGACGCCGCGUGGUGGAUGAAGGCCUUCGGGUUGUAAACACCUUUUGGCAGGGAAAAAUUUUGAUUGUACCUGCAGAAUAAGAGGUUGCUAACUCUGU
This 444-nucleotide ribosomal RNA is filed under the name uncultured bacterium. Its description in RNAcentral is "bacterial SSU rRNA". It matches the Rfam family "Bacterial small subunit ribosomal RNA", at positions 29 to 506 of the family's 1533-position model. The record is from RNAcentral.